This 245-nucleotide ribosomal RNA is filed under the name uncultured Rhizomicrobium sp. Its description in RNAcentral is "partial 16S ribosomal RNA". It matches the Rfam family "Bacterial small subunit ribosomal RNA", at positions 524 to 768 of the family's 1533-position model. Lineage: Bacteria; Pseudomonadati; Pseudomonadota; Alphaproteobacteria; Micropepsales; Micropepsaceae. The record is from RNAcentral.
UACGAAGGGGGCUAGCGUUGUUCGGAAUUACUGGGCGUAAAGCGCGCGCAGGCGGCUUUGCAAGUCAGGGGUGAAAGCCCAGAGCUCAACUCUGGAAUUGCCUUUGAGACUGCGAGGCUGGAGUACGGGAGAGGUGAGUGGAAUUCCCAGUGUAGAGGUGAAAUUCGUAGAUAUUGGGAAGAACACCAGUGGCGAAGGCGGCUCACUGGCCCGUUACUGACGCUCAUGCGCGACAGCGUGGGGAU